This 1714-nucleotide long non-coding RNA is filed under the name Nicotiana tabacum (common tobacco). Its description in RNAcentral is "long non-coding RNA (NTAB_LNC018865)". Lineage: Eukaryota; Viridiplantae; Streptophyta; Magnoliopsida; Solanales; Solanaceae. The record is from RNAcentral.
UAAAAGAGAAAAAAAAUACCAUUAUUGUGUGCAUGCCUAAUUACAACAUCGAAUUUAAACAAAUAUAAUUUUAUACCAAUUACAUUGUACAACAAAUUAUUUAUAUUGUACACCGAAUCAAAGAAUUAAGAAUUUAAUAUAAUUAAUAUGCAAGAAGGGGCUGUGUCUCUUUUACGACUAUUAUUCGAUAUUUUAUAAACUUAAAUAAUUUCAAUAUUAUUAGGUUCUAUUUCAAAAUGCUGAUAAUUUAAUAUGGUUGAUAAAGGAGUUUAUUAAAAAAAUUAAUUAGUAUAUCAUUAUUCAUACUAAACAAAGUAUUACUUGUGAUUUUCUAAUAUAACUUAAAUAAAUAUUAACUUUGUGCUUGUAUCUAUUUACAUUGAUCGCUAAUUGUAUUCAAUUUGAAUAUGCAUAAUUAAUGGUCUAAUGUUAUUUUGAUAACUUAAUAAUUACUAUCAUAAAUCUAAUUAAGCACUAAUAUUUUUUAAAAUUAAUAUAACUGAAAUAGGAGAAUAUAGCAAACUAAGAAUAUCAAAUAGUACAAAAGAAGCUUUAAAGAAAAAGGUAAAUUAGAAUACCUUCAUUUUAUUUAAAUAGUUUAUUGUUUCUAUGUUACUUAUUAUAAAUUAAGUAUUUAUAAUAUUAUUCCUUUUGGUUUUUGGUAGUUGUUUUUAUUACUUAUAUUCGUUAGCACUCACAUUUUUUGCAUUUAAUGUAUUACGUGUCUUAUUAAAAAUUAAAAGAAAGUAAAAAUCUAUAGUAUAACAACAAGUAAAGAAACGACAAAGGCCCAAAGCAAAAAUCCCUAAAACCUAAACUACACUCUGACCUCCUUUCUCUCCCGCUGCCACCUCCCCUUCCCCACUUUUCUAUUUCAUUCUUUAACCAAGGCUAAAUUAAGAAGAUCGAGAAUGACAAAGAAGAGCGAGAGAGAACCCAAUCGCUUCUCUAUUCUCGGGCAGUCGGGCAGAAGAGGUAAGCUCAUAUCUCUAUAUUUUAGGGCUUGUAAAUCUUUUUAUACCUACUUCACUUGGAUUUUUGGGUACAAUUUUGCGGACUAUUCCAGCAAUUUGAUAGAUAUUGUAUCUUAUUUUUGAUAAGUAGUGAUUGAUAAUUUGAACAGAAGCAAUAUUUCAAAAUUCGGAUGAAGAUAAUUUAAGUUGUUUAAAAAGUGUUCAAAUUUUUUUUUUUAACUUCUUUUGUUGCUUUGUAUAUUUUUCUUUUGUUAUCUAUUAGAAAUUCUUGUAAAAUCAAUACAUAUUUUUUGUCUGCUUGAAAUUCUAUCAAUAUUUUUACUAAUUGAACUUUCAACUCAGUUGUACUUGUUAAAAACAUAUAUGAUCAAUUAUUUUUGCUUCGUGGUGUUAAAAAUAUUUUUUCAUGUAGAUUGGUGGAGUUAGAGCAAUGACAAGUUAAAACCAAGAUAAGGUGCAGUUAAAGACCCGAGGAGGAAUGAAAGAAGAAGACGGUGUCCUAGAAAAAUUGUGCAUCGUGAAUGCUUCGAAAUUUACAAUUAUGUGUAACUUGAAACCUAUUGUGGAAUAUAAAUUCUUUUUAUCCUUAGCUACGUUAUUAAAAGCUUAUGUGUAACUUUGAAUUUGUUUUGGAAUCUAAAAUAUUUGGAAUUUUAGCUAUUAUGAAAAUUAUUUUGACUAGUUAUUCUUGUAGCAAAUUCUUUAAUUUGUGGCAAUAAAAGUUUGAAUUCGUGGCUAUA